AGAACGAACGCUGGCGGCAUGCCUAACACAUGCAAGUCGAACGAGGCCUUCGGGUCUAGUGGCGCACGGGUGCGUAACGCGUGGGAAUCUGCCCUUGGGUUCGGAAUAACAGCGAGAAAUUGCUGCUAAUACCGGAUGAUGACGUAAGUCCAAAGAUUUAUCGCCCAAGGAUGAGCCCGCGUAGGAUUAGCUUGUUGGUGAGGUAAGAGCUCACCAAGGCGACGAUCCUUAGCUGGUCUGAGAGGAUGAUCAGCCACACUGGGACUGAGACACGGCCCAGACUCCUACGGGAGGCAGCAGUGGGGAAUAUUGGACAAUGGGCGAAAGCCUGAUCCAGCAAUGCCGCGUGAGUGAUGAAGGCCUUAGGGUUGUAAAGCUCUUUACCCGGAUGAUAAUGACAGUACCGGAGAAUAAGCUCCGGCUAACUCCGUGCCAAGCGACGCCGUAGUAACUCGUAGACGGCGGCGUCGACGAACGGCA
RNAcentral lists this ribosomal RNA (480 nucleotides) under uncultured soil bacterium. RNAcentral describes it as "bacterial SSU rRNA". It matches the Rfam family "Bacterial small subunit ribosomal RNA", at positions 30 to 543 of the family's 1533-position model. The record is from RNAcentral.